Molecule: long non-coding RNA, 2269 nt
Organism: Felis catus (domestic cat)
Lineage: Eukaryota; Metazoa; Chordata; Mammalia; Carnivora; Felidae
Exons: 3
Source: RefSeq, a predicted model, not a curated record
GAAUAUUCCAGAUAUAGAGUGCUACAUGUGCAAAGGCAGAGGUGCAGGUCUAAAACCUUUAGAGAACUUUAAAUAUUUCACAGUGGUUGGAGUACUAUAUGAAUAGGACAGUGGCUGAACCAGAUCAUGGAAGAAUGCCCUUUGAAGGAAUCUAGAGGUUAUACUCUAUGUAACUGGGAGCCAUUAAAGAGUUUGAAGCAAAGAGACUCAUGUGCUCACAUCUAAAAUCAGAAUAAUCUUUCUGAUGGUGGUAUGGAGGAUAUAUUAGAAGGGAAAGGAUACUGGAAGUAGGGAAACUAAUUAAGAGAGCACAUAUUAGCUUGUAAGGACAUGAUGAGGGCAUGUGCUAUGGGCUGAAUUGUGUCCCCUAAAAUUCAUGUUGAAGUCCUCAGUGUCAGUACCUCGGAACGUGACUCUGUUCGGAGAUAGGAUCUUUAAAGGGUUAAUUAGUUUAAAGUGAGGUCAUUAGGGUGGCUCUAAUCCAUUAUGACUGGUAUCCCGGGAAGAGGAAAAUAGGACACAGACACACAAAGAGAAGACGAGGAGAAGACACACAGAGAAGACAGCUAUUUGCAAGCCAAACACACAGGCCUCAGAAAAAAACCAACCCCGCUGGUAUCUUGAUCUCAGACUUCCAGCCUCCAGAAUGUGACCUGCCAUCGUUGUAGCCUCUGCCACCCGCACAACGCCAGGCAAUUAGAGGGAGCGUGACCCACCCGGAAUGGAAGUUCUACCACGGCUGUGUAGAGAUCGGGGCCCUGGGUCUUCACCCCCUGAUACCCAGGUUCUGCUCGCAAGGAAAGAAAGAGCCCGCACUGUGGAAUGCUGAUCACUUCCUUCAUGGGUGGGGAAGAAAAAGCUUGGAGAGUCUGCUCUUUCAAAAGUCAGAAGACACAUUUUAGCUUGCAGUUGGGACAGACUAGAAGACAGCUCUGAAGAAUACUUUGAGACAGUAUCUUCCACCAGAUGAACCCUGUGGUAACUGUGGUCUUUGAGUCUGUAUUGCUUUCAGUGUUUACAGGUCAAAUCUAAAUUUAUAUAUUGGAAAUGUGUUCUAUUUUCCCUACCGAAUAUGGGAUGAAUUGAUUUAUUUGCUUAUUUUUAAAUGCGUCUACUGGCCUUUAGAAGCUAUUAUUUACAUAAAGGUACUUUUGAACUUUACAAACAUGUUGGAGGCUACCUACUGUCCAAAUAUUUUAAAUAAGGUAUUAGAUAGGUACAAAGCAACAUCCGUAUCUGAAAUAAUAAAAUGAAAGACAGAAAUCAUUGCCAAAUGCUUUCCUAAAUAAUAUUUUUGAAAUAGUCAUUUUCACAGAUCAGCUUUUGUCGUACUAAAUUAAGAUAUACUUUCUUAAAAUGUUAAACCAUAUGAAUAUCUAAAUGUAUUUUCAAUGUUUUAUAGAAAGAAUAUGGAGUAUAUUUUUGGUGGCAAUCAAUACAUCUAUAUUGGGCAGUUAUUUUAAUGGCUAUUACCAUUCAGUGUCUAACUUUAUUUUUUUAGCUGAUGCAAGAGACAAUUAACAAAUAUGAGUAUUUAUCUUAACCUUUUUUGAGGUCUGAAUUCACUUUUCAUCUUGGCUUUUCUCAUUUUCAUCUUGUACCUGAUUACUUCACAAGGCGUAUGCCUCUUUUCUUUCCUUAAUUGCUUUUUGUACUUCCUUCUCCAUUCUGUUUUUCAAUUGCUUGUUGCUAAGCGAUGUGCACAACAGUAGGAUAUACAUUCAUUACCUUUGAACAUGGCCCACUUGGUAUUAUUUUCCUCUACUCCUUUACCUCAUUUGAAUUGACCUCAACUGCACUUUCUGCUUUCUUUUGACCUUUCUUUUUGCCAAAACACCCAUCUUCCUGUCCUUUGAUCAUGACUCAGGGGCUAGUGUAUUCAAUACUUACCCCCAUUUUGUCUAUGCUCUAUUGUUUUUGUUAAGCUCUGGUGGCCAGACUCAUUUCACAGGACUAUUUCUCUUUGUUAGUCUCUCCUUUUUGUCUUACUACUUUCAUUUGUAUUUAAAGACAUUAGAAAGACACCUCUUCUUUGAUGAAAUUUAGGUCAUUUCUUAUUAUUUUCCUUUGAUCACUUCUGUUGUUGUGGAUGUCGGUUCGUCUCAGUACGCCGGCACCUGCUACUCUCUUAUAAUAUCAAUUCUGGUAUAAUCUGAUAAAACCACAUCACUCACUCAACAUAAAUUUGUUCAAUUUUUCAAUGACCUAUAAUGUAUUUAAUUUAUUUAGCCACGGUAAACUGCCAAAAAAAAAAAGCUCCCCCACCCAA